RNAcentral lists this ribosomal RNA (587 nucleotides) under uncultured fungus. RNAcentral describes it as "eukaryotic LSU rRNA". The stretch from base 236 to 389 matches the Rfam family "5.8S ribosomal RNA". Lineage: Eukaryota; Fungi. The record is from RNAcentral.
AAGUCGUAACAAGGUCUCCGUUGGUGAACCAGCGGAGGGAUCAUUACAGAGUUGCAAAACUCCCACAAACCAUCGCGAAUCUUACCCGUACGGUUGCCUCGGCGCUGGCGGUCCGGAAGGCCCUCGGGCCCCCCGGAUCCUCGGGUCUCCCGCUCGCGGGAGGCUGCCCGCCGGAGUGCCGAAACCAAACUCUUGAUAUUUUAUGUCUCUCUGAGUAAACUUUUAAAUAAGUCAAAACUUUCAACAACGGGUCUCUUGGUUCUGGCAUCGAUGAAGAACGCAGCGAAAUGCGAUAAGUAAUGUGAAUUGCAGAAUUCAGUGAAUCAUCGAAUCUUUGAACGCACAUUGCGCCCGCCAGUACUCUGGCGGGCAUGCCUGUUCGAGCGUCAUUUCAACCCUCAAGCCCUGCUUGGUGUUGGGGUCCUACGGCUGCCGUAGGCCCUGAAAGCUAGUGGCGGGCUCGCUAUAACUCCGAGCGUAGUAGUAAAAUAUCUCGCUAGGGGGGUGUCGCGGGUUCCGGUCGUGAAAGCCCAUCUUUUACACACAAGGUUGACCUCGGAUCAGGUAGGAAUACCCGCUGAACUUAA